This is a long non-coding RNA of Canis lupus familiaris (dog), 231 nucleotides long. RefSeq lists it as uncharacterized. The record is from RefSeq and is a predicted model, not a curated record. The transcript is spliced from 2 exons. NCBI's taxonomy places the organism in Eukaryota, Metazoa, Chordata, Mammalia, Carnivora, Canidae.
UGCAGGGAGCCCGACGCGGGAUCGAUCCCAGGUCUCCAGGUCACGCCCCGGGCUGAAGGCAGGUUCAAGUUCUUCCUUCAAAGAAUCAUCAGAAUGACAUGGAUUGAAGAGACUUUGGAACACUUGCCAUCUCUUGCUGCUGAUGUUACAUGAAAGAAAAUAUUAAACAUUUAAUUUUUAGAUAAGUGUAAUACAUAUUUCACCAAGUAAAAUAUUUCAAUGCUUGCAUUA